CUGGCGGCAGGCCUUAUACAUGCAAGUCGAGCGCAUCCUUCGGGAUGAGCGGCGGACGGGUGAGUAACGCGUGGGAAUGUGCCCUUCUCUACGGAAUAGCCACUGGAAACGGUGAGUAAUACCGUAUACGCCCUUAGGGGGAAAGAUUUAUCGGAGAAGGAUCAGCCCGCGUUAGAUUAGGUAGUUGGUGGGGUAACAGCCUACCAAGCCUACGAUCUAUAGCUGGUUUUAGAGGAUGAUCAGCCACACUGGGACUGAGACACGGCCCAGACUCCUACGGGAGGCAGCAGUAGGGAAUCUUGGACAAUGGGGGCAACCCUGAUCCAGCCAUGCCGCGUGAGUGAAGAAGGCCCUAGGGUCGUAAAGCUCUUUCGCCUGUGAUGAUAAUGACAGUAGCAGGUAAAGAAACCCCGGCUAACUCCGUGCCAGCAGCCGCGGUAAUACGGAGGGGGUUAGCGUUGUUCGGAAUUACUGGGCGUAAAGCGCGCGUAGGCGGAUUGGAAAGUUGGGGGUGAAAUCCCGGGGCUCAACCCCGGAACUGCCUUCAAAACUCCCAGUCUAGAGUUCGAGAGAGGUGAGUGGAAUUCCGAGUGUAGAGGUGAAAUUCGUAGAUAUUCGGAAGAACACCAGUGGCGAAGGCGGCUCACUGGCUCGAUACUGACGCUGAGGUGCGAAAGUGUGGGGAGCAAACAGGAUUAGAUACCCUGGUAGUCCACACCGUAAACGAUGAAUGCCAGUCGUCGGAUAGUAUACUAUUCGGUGACACACCUAACGGAUUAAGCAUUCCGCCUGGGGAGUACGGUC
RNAcentral lists this ribosomal RNA (804 nucleotides) under uncultured Paracoccaceae bacterium. Its description in RNAcentral is "bacterial SSU rRNA". It matches the Rfam family "Bacterial small subunit ribosomal RNA", at positions 36 to 887 of the family's 1533-position model. The record is from RNAcentral. Lineage: Bacteria; Pseudomonadati; Pseudomonadota; Alphaproteobacteria; Rhodobacterales; Paracoccaceae.